ACUAUAACUAAACCCUGCUAGACAUAACACCCCUCCCCUCCUGGAUCACGCAAGUGUAAUCGUUAAGGUACGCUGGGCGCCUGCGUGUUCGUCCGGACCGUCGUAGUUCAGGUUCGAUAACAGGUGCAGCUGAUUCCGGCAUGGAUGGAGAAGAGAACGGUACAAUUGACGGAUUGUUCCCUGUAACAGACUUCCCAGCCUCGGACUCUACCUCAGGUUUCUUUAGGAUCCAGAAAGAAUAUUGCAAAUAUGACCUGGGAGUUCUGCUCCAUGGGUUUCAUAUGGUGGAGUAUUCUCAUUAUUAUUAAGAUUUAUUGGAUUUUUACGUUAUGAAACAAGUCUAGAAAUGUUCAAAGAAAUCAAUUUGGACCUGAUUACUUAUGGCACAAACUUUCUCCAAUUGUUCUCUGCCCGUCCAGUAAGAGUGGACACAGUUGGUAUCCUCAAGUUUUCCUUAAUAAGAAAUGUCGCCUUAAUGGAUCCCAGAGGCAGCAUUCCUUCUGAGGUCCUUAUGGACCUGACUUUGCUAUCAUUCAGAAGAUUCUGAAGACUUUACUCUUCCAGUAGUACUUGAAUUGGGACAAUUUGUGAAUCUAUUAUUAUUAUGGGUGUUUGGCAGCGGUGGGUUUCCAAUAUACUUACCACCAGUUCGCUGUGCAUGCGCACGCUUGCUUCACGUGCGUGCCUUCCACACAUACUCUCCACCUUCUGUGCAUGCACUUUGCUUGCUCGUACCUAAAUAGGACGGCAUAGAGCCGGGGUGGAUGGGUGGGGACGAUCUCCGCUAUCGGUUUGCUUGAACCAGUACAAGCCAGCUGAGUACCACCUCUGGUGUUUAGAGUUUUGCUGGAGUCCUUGACUUUGUUCUUUCGUGGCUAGAUGGUGUUUUUAGCCCACUUUAUAUCUGACUUGAGUUUCUUCAUAAUCCUAGAAACGAAGUAAAUAAUAACUGUGCAAAAUCUCUACAAGGUGACGUGAUUCUGGGGUAUCUUUUACUUAUGCACGACAGAGAUAGAACUACGCCUGAUUUCUGCUUGUUCUCUAGAUUUAUAAGGAAAUGUUUCCUUUGCUUGAAUACUCUGAAGAUAGCAGUCCAAGUUUCUGACCUCCAUUCAAUUCUCAUAAAAGUCAGAGUCAUACCUGAGGACACCAACAAUGCUUUUCAUGGCUUGCCUUGCCCUGAUCCACUCAGACUGCCACACACACCACACCGUGAUUGAAAUAAUCGAAGCUAAACAUACUAACCAUCAAUGUGGAAUGAAAAUGUGAAUCCAAAAAAUGAAAUUAAAAAAAACAAAAACCCUUUAAUAGGAAAUAAGUCAUGGAUGGCUGUUUAAAGGUAUUGAGCUGGAAAAGUAAUAUAAUUUGAUUUCAUCUGGACUGCCAGGAACAAGAACAGCAUAUUGUGUUCUGUCCUUUUCUUCAGCAGACGUCGUGGCAUUUACAGCAGCCAUGUUCUCCUACAAAGACGGCAGGGUGGCUCCCACACUUCUUUGCCUGUUUCUCCCAUUUCUCUCUAUUUCUGAAUGUUCUUUUCUAAUUAAACAUUCUGAAUCCUUCAAGAGUUUCAAGCUCCUUCAAAGAUAUCCCUUUUAAUGAUUACCAUGGCAACUGUAUCACCUACAAAAGAGUUUUUCUACCUUUCUUCUGAGUGCUUGGUGGAAAUGCUAAAGAAUGGAAUAUUACAGCCACAUCAACAUAGCAAAUGACUGUCAGAACAAAGAGAAGCUUUUAAAUAUUUGCCUCUUGUGACUUUUUCCUGAAUAAUUACCAUUUCUUACUUAUUGAAAAGAAGAAAUCAAUAAAGGAGUGCACACACACUUGUUUGCGUGUGCAUGCAUGCCUGGCCAAGAGAAAUGGUUGAUUGCCAAGAGAACAAAUUACCUUUUACUAGUUUUUCUCUCUUUAUUCAAUCUUACAUUUAUCUUGUGUUUUCUUGACUUCAGCAGUAGCAAUUCUUUUUUUCUUCUGUCUGCAUUGUUGCAUUCACUUCUUGUCCAAACAUUUGAAACAGAUAAAGUAACUGUUUCUCGUUUAUCUUCGUACCGUUUAACUGACAUACCAAUCUGCUUUCCCUUUGUAAUGAUUUGUCUAUUUGACACAGAAAAGCUUUGCUCCUGUUGGUUGCCUUUGUUGUUUGACUAUCUGACUAUAAAUACUGUUUGUAAGUCUCUCUCUAACAAUGCUUAGGGCCUCUCUUAGUUGAUGACGUGGUUAAAAUUAUCAGAACAAGAAGUUGAGAUUUAGUAUAUAUAAACAGUUCAGUGUAGUCCUGAAAAUUAAAACACAUGAACAUGAAA
Pantherophis guttatus is the source of this 2300-nucleotide non-coding RNA. Lineage: Eukaryota; Metazoa; Chordata; Lepidosauria; Squamata; Colubridae. The record is from RefSeq and is a predicted model, not a curated record.